UUUUUUUUUUUUUUUAAUUUGUCUCUUUAGGGCCACACCCCUGGUGCAUAUGGAGUUUCCCAGGCUAGAGUUUGAAUCAGAGAUACAGCCACUUGGCCUACGUCACAGACACAGCAACGCGGUAUUUGAGCCACAUCUGUGAUCUACACCUCAGUUCACAUGGCAACGCUGGAUCCUUAACCCACUGAGCAAGGCCAGGGAUCGAACCCAUGUCCUCAAGGAUGCUAGUAAGGUUCUUUCCCUGAGCCAUGGUGGGAAUUCCUCAAGUUUCAUAAUAGUGUUCAUUGAAGCAGAAAAGUUUUUAAUUUUGAAGUUCUUCUCUAUUUCUUGUUAUUAAGAACCAACAGCUUUAUGUAAGCUAAAAAUGAUUUAUUCUUAUCUUUUCUUCUAAGAGUUGUAUAGUUUUAGUUCUCACAUUUAGAUCUUUAAUAUACUUUGAGUUAUUUUUGCAUAUGGCAUGAGGUAAAAGGGUCCAAUAUCUUUCUUUGGCAUGAGUUUAUCCAAUUGUUCCCCUAUCAUUUUUUGAAAAUACUGUGUUAGGUCCCAUAAGCAUAUGUUUAUUUCUGAGCUCUCAAUUCUAUUUCAUUGAUCUUUAAGUCUAUCUUUAUGCCAGUUCCAUAUUGGAAAGUAUCACUGUUUUAAUUAAUAUUUCUUUGCAGUUAAGUUUUGAAAUAGGAAAAUGUGAGUUUUACUAUUUUAUUCUUUAUCAAGAUUGUUUUUGACUCUUCUAGGUCUUGUGUAAUUCCAUAUGAAUUUUAAUAUCAGAUGAUCAAUUUCCAUAAUGAAUCCAGCUAACUGGUUGGGUUAUUUUGGGACAUCUAUUUCUUUCUGCAGUAUGAAAGCUUUGUUAUCGUUUCUCAGAGGAUAUAGCCUUGGUGUACCCACAGUCACCUGAGAUAAUACUGCAUUCAGUAAGACACUUUCCUCAUCCAUACUCAUCUGUUAAUCUCCAUUAAUUACUGGCUGGCUGUCUAUUGUUUACAACAAUGCUCUGGGACAUAACUUCCUUGCAGACAGAUUCAAUCAGACCUAGUUUGCAUUAGAGAUAGUUCUAUGGUUAGUGUUUGUUAUUUGUCUUUUUCCAGAAAGGCUUCUCUCUGUUUUCUCUUUCCUCAUUUGUCUCUUGCAAAUGAGCCUGCCAAUGGUUUAGCCUAUAUCGUCAAUGAAUUAAAUGAUUCUACCUCAUCUCUGUCUUUCAUGAGAGUCUCCACUGUUUCUUGACCGCCCUUAGAUUUAAACUUUUCUAAACUCUGAAUCAAAUACGCCAUUUACUUUGAAAAGAGAUUAAGAACUCUCUGUAACAUGGCUUGCUUCUUCCCCAGGCAAGAAACUUUAGGCCAUGUCUCUGAUGCUGAGGGUGAGACAAUGGUUCACUUCACUCUGAGUGACCUUGAAUUUAGGAACAGAACAUUUUAUUGGAGUGGGAGAGCAGCAGCCCCAGGUCUCUUUUAGCUCACCCCCCCAAAGUGGAACUUCUGCUCUAUAAACCAAGAAAGGCAAGAGGGUACAGGGCCCUUGUAUCUUCAGUAAUGUCAUGCUUUCAUCUCAUAAGUGCAGACUGUGUGGCAGAAGCACCCACCCCAAGUCUCACCAUUCCACACUCCCAGAAUUUAAACUCAGUAAUAAGCAGUUGGGGACAGCAUGAGAAAUUUUGAUCUUCAGCUUCUCCUAGGAAAAUAACCCUCUAAUUAGGAGCUAUAGGUAGUAAGAGGGCCUUAUGGUUUUGGUUGUGCCAGUCUGGAGCUGGAAUUUCCAUCUCAUUGACCCAAGAGAGGGGAGAGAUAGAAUAAGUGUUGGUUCAACAAUCACAGACUCUUAUUUCUUACCAUGUUUUAGCAGACCUUCUUGAAUAAAAGUUUUUGUUUGUUUGUUUGUUGUAUGCCCUUAAAACCAUUUCCAGAUAUUUUAAUGAUUGGCAUAUUGUUUAUUAAUUUUCAUCAGUUUUGCUGGAAAGCAUGUUCACAGGGCUCCUCACACUGUCAUACUAGAAGUCCUUUUUUAAGUUUUGAGUUUUGUGCUAACAGAAAGUCUAUAAGAAAUGCAUUGAAAAUAUUAUUUGUAAAUUGAGGCAUUAUACAAAUUAAUACUGUAAAAAUGUGAUUAGAUUAGAUACUUUUUCUAUCAAAAAUAUGCUUUUUGUUAAAUUUUCCUGUAGUGUUGGUUUAAUUUUAAUAUAAUAACUGAACAUGGUAUAUUAUUUAACAGUUGUAUUUGCUGUUAAGUUUUCAAUAUACUAUACUACUACUCAAUUUCAAAAUAUAUAUCUAUGCUCUUCAUAAAAACACUGAAAAUUAUCUGUAUACUUUAAAAUAAGUCCCUGCUUUCUGCCUCAUUUUUAAAAAUAACCUAGCUAGUUCAGCAUUUCCCACAUUGAAAACUUGUUAUGGUCACUGAACAAUUUCUAAUGUUUCAAAAUCAAUUUAGCUACCUAAUAAGAACAUCAGAUUUCCUCACUUUGGGAUAAAAUUAUUCUAAUUAAGCUUACAUGUAGAAGUUAUCACAUACUAAAAAAUCUACCUAGCUAUUAAGAAUAUUACACAAAUCUCUAAAAUUCAUUGUUUUUCAUGUGUGGUAAGGAAAAAUAUUUGUCUCACUUCUCAUCCUGAUUUUCUCCUAUUGAUUUCUCCUAUUAUUGGAAAAUAUAUAUUUCUACAACAGGGAAUGCAGGUUUUUUAGUUCCACCUCUGCCCUAAUUUUGAAAAAAAUCUUCGUUUUUAAUAUACCUAUUGAGAAAUUUGGUCCUAAGUGGUCAAAAGGGAAACAGAAAUUUUUUAAAAAAUGUAACUACUUUAAAAUAAAAUUCCUAUAGCCAUCCUCUUUCAAAAGAUUGAAGAAGGAAUACUCCCAAAGACAUUCUUUGAGGCUACCACCCUUCUAAUACCAAAACCAGACAAAGAUACUACCAAAAAAGAAAAUUAUGGGCCAAUAUCUGUUGAAUAAAGAUACAAAAAUUCUUAACAAAAUUUUAGCAAACUGAAUGCAACAACACGAAAGAGAUCAUACACCCAUAAUUAAGUGGGAGUCAUCUCAAGUUCAUAAGGAUGGUUCAACAUACACAAAUCAAUCAAUGUAAUAUAUCACAUUAACAAAAAAAAGCCAAAAAACACAUGAUAAUAUCAAUAGACACAGAAAAAGCAUUUGACAAAAUUCAACAUCCAUUCAUGAUUAAAAACUUUUAGCAAAGUUGGUACAGAGGGGAACAUAUCUCAAUAUAAUCAGUCAUUUAUGACAAACACACACCAAUUUAUUACUCAAUACAGAUUCUUUCCCACUAAAAUCUGGAAGAAGACAAGAAUGCCCACUCUCACCAUUUUUAUUCAACAUAGCAUUGGAAGUCCUAGCCACAGCAAACAGACAAAAAAAAAAGAAGGAAAGUAUCAAAAUUGGAAGAGAAAAGGUAAAAUUGUCACUAUAUGCAGAUGACAUAAUACUAUAUAUAGAAAACCCUAAGAAUACCACACAAAAACUACAUAAACUGAUAAAGGAAUUCAGCAAGGAAGCAGGAUACAAGAUUUAACAUUCAGAAAUCAGUUGCAUUUUUGUAUACUAACAAUGAAAUAUUGGAAAAGAACUAUUUAAAGAAUCAUUUUAAAAUAACACACCCACAAAAAUUAAAUACCUAGGAAUAAACCUGACCAAGGAGGUGAAAGACUUAUAUUCUGAGAACAUUAAUCAAGGAAAUUAAAGAGGAUUCAAAGAAAUGGAAAGGUACUCCAUGCUCAUGGAUUGGAAGAUUUAAUAUUGUUAAAAUGACCAUACUACCCAAAGCAAUCUACCGAUUUAAUAUGAUCCCUAUCAAAUUACCCAUGACAUUUUCACAGAGCUAGAACAAACAACCCCAAAAUUUAUGUGAAACCAUAAAAGACCCAUAACUGCCAAAGCAAUCCUGAGGAAGGAAAAAAAAAGCAACAGAAGAACAAAGCACAAGACAUAACUCUCAUAGUCUUCAAAAAUAUUAUAAAGCUACAGUAAUAAAGAGAGUGUAGUACUGGUACAAAAACAAACAUUUAGAUCAAUGGAACAGAAUAGAGGGCCCAGAAAUAAACCCAGACACUGAAGGUCAAUUCAACAAAGAAGGCAAGAAUAUAAAAUGGGGGAAAUAUAGCCUUUUCAGCAAGUGUUGCUGGGAAAACUGGACAGCUGCAUUUAAAUCAAUGAAACUGAACACAUCCUCAUGCCAUGAACAAAAAAUAAACUCAAAAUGGCUUAAAGACUUAAACAUAAGACAUGACACCAUAAAACUCCUAGAAGAGAACAUAGGCAAAACAUUCUCUGACAUCAACUGUACAAGGGUUUUCUUAGGUCAGUCUCCCAAAACAAUAGAAAUAAGAAUAAAAAUAAAUGAGCAAAACCUACUCAAACUUAUAAGAUUUUGCACAGCAAAGGAAACCAUAAAAAAGUAAAUCUAUGAAACGGAAGAAAAUAGUGCAAAUGAAGCAACCAAUGAGUGCCUAAUCACCAAAAUAUACAAACAACUCAUAUAACUCAACAAUAAAAAGGCAAACAACCAAUUGGAAAAUAGGCAGGGAAUUCCCCAUGGCUCAGAACUUAACAAACCUGACUAGUACUGAUGAGGAUGUGGGUUCAAUACCUGGCCUUGUUCAGUGGGUUAAGGAUCCAGCAUUGCUGUGAGCUGUGGUAUAGGUCACAGAUGUGGCCCAGAUCCUGUGUUGCUGUGGCUGUGGUGUAGGCCAGCAGCUGUAGCUCUGAUUUGACACC
RNAcentral lists this long non-coding RNA (4719 nucleotides) under Sus scrofa (pig). Its description in RNAcentral is "lncRNA (ENSSSCG00000063286.1)". The record is from RNAcentral. Lineage: Eukaryota; Metazoa; Chordata; Mammalia; Artiodactyla; Suidae.